This 601-nucleotide unclassified non-coding RNA is filed under the name Trichuris trichiura (human whipworm). RNAcentral's name for it is "sequence contains ITS1". The record is from RNAcentral. Lineage: Eukaryota; Metazoa; Nematoda; Enoplea; Trichinellida; Trichuridae.
AAGCGGCCGUAGCUGCCGUGCGUUGUAGGCGCUGCUCCGCUGGCCUGCUAGCAGCAGCAGCAGCAGCAGGAGCAGGUGUGGCGUUUGCUCCGUCCGAAUGCGACCGACGUCCGCGAGGCUCUAGCGGUUCCGUUCAGUCGUUAAAUUAGUCGCAAAGUCAGGCGGGCUGCCGUUCCGCCCGGUGGGAACCGAGUCGAUCGUCGCCGUCACCGGCUCCAUCGGGCAGCAGCAGCGGUUUUCACUUGCUGCUCUUCCUCUGCGCGCUCUCCCCGGUACCUGUUCCGUUGUGGCCUCCGUGGCUGCGGCGGUUUGGAUCUGGGUGUCGUUAGCGCCGCCGGUUGCAGUCGACCCUGCCGCCGUGGCAGUAGUCGCAGUGGCGCUGAAGAAGCUGCGGCUAACGUCGACGAGGUUCACAAAACAGACGUUCGACCUCGAGCAUCGAGGACGGCUCGUCCCCGGUUGGAAAAAGAAAAAGCAGAAUAAGCAGAGCAAACGGCGUCGUCCUACUACGCAUGCUGAUGUGCCUUCGACACGCAGACACUGCUGUCGGCGCAAUCAGCGCUAGUAGCAUUAGUACUGCUGCUGUACGCGCAGGAAAGUA